This 872-nucleotide ribosomal RNA is filed under the name uncultured bacterium. RNAcentral's name for it is "bacterial SSU rRNA". It matches the Rfam family "Bacterial small subunit ribosomal RNA", at positions 9 to 873 of the family's 1533-position model. The record is from RNAcentral.
AGAGUUUGAUCAUGGCUCAGAUUGAACGCUGGCGGAAUGCUUUACACAUGCAAGUCGAACGGCAGCACGGGGGCAACCCUGGUGGCGAGUGGCGAACGGGUGAGUAAUACAUCGGAACGUGCCCAGUCGUGGGGGAUAACGUAGCGAAAGCUACGCUAAUACCGCAUACGAUCUGUGGAUGAAAGCGGGGGAUCGCAAGACCUCGCGCGAUUGGAGCGGCCGAUGGCAGAUUAGGUAGUUGGUGGGGUAAAGGCCUACCAAGCCGACGAUCUGUAGCUGGUCUGAGAGGACGACCAGCCACACUGGGACUGAGACACGGCCCAGACUCCUACGGGAGGCAGCAGUGGGGAAUUUUGGACAAUGGGCGCAAGCCUGAUCCAGCCAUUCCGCGUGCAGGAUGAAGGCCCUCGGGUUGUAAACUGCUUUUGUACGGAACGAAAAGGUCUGAGUUAAUACCUCGGGCUGAUGACGGUACCGUAAGAAUAAGCACCGGCUAACUACGUGCCAGCAGCCGCGGUAAUACGUAGGGUGCGAGCGUUAAUCGGAAUUACUGGGCGUAAAGCGUGCGCAGGCGGUGAUGUAAGACAGGUGUGAAAUCCCCGGGCUUAACCUGGGAACUGCAUUUGUGACUGCAUCGCUGGAGUGCGGCAGAGGGGGAUGGAAUUCCGCGUGUAGCAGUGAAAUGCGUAGAUAUGCGGAGGAACACCGAUGGCGAAGGCAAUCCCCUGGGCCUGCACUGACGCUCAUGCACGAAAGCGUGGGGGAGCAAACAGGAUUAGAUACCCUGGUAGUCCACGCCCUAAACGAUGUCAACUGGNUUGUUGGUCCUUCACUGGAUCAGUAACGAAGCUAACGCGUGAAGUUGACCGCCU